Molecule: ribosomal RNA, 563 nt
Filed under: Enterococcus faecium
Lineage: Bacteria; Bacillati; Bacillota; Bacilli; Lactobacillales; Enterococcaceae
Description: partial 23S ribosomal RNA
Rfam family: Bacterial large subunit ribosomal RNA
Source: RNAcentral
CGUCGGGUGAGCAGUUGAAGGGGCGGUGUAACCCAGUGCUGGAGGUUAUGCGAGUGAGAAUUCAGGCAUGAGUAGCGAAUGAUGAGUGGGAAACUCAUCCGCCGGAUGACUAAGGGUUCCUGGGUCAAGUUAAUCUUCCCAGGGUGAGUCGGGGCCUAAGGCGAGGCCGACAGGCGUAGUCGAUGGUUAACGGGUUGAUAUUCCCGUACCCGUAUGUGUGCGACCAAUGGUGAAGCAGUGAUACUAACCGCCCUGAACGAUGCUUCAUGCACUUUGUGUGUGUUGUGUUGGGAUGCGUGGGACCUGAUCUGUUGUAGUCAAGCGAGGGGGUGACGCAGGAAGGUAGCCGAGCCACUGAUUGGAUUGUGGUGUAAGCGUGUGGCCCGCUGUAUUGGUAAAUCCGUACAGCUUUGUGGGUGAGGCGUGAUGCGUACCCGUUUGUGGGGAUGUUGGUGAUCCUAUGCUGUCGAGAAAAGCCUCUAGUGAGUGCAUGUAUGGCCCGUACCGUAAACCGACACAGGUGGUCAGGUAGAGAAUACUAAGGCGAUCGGGUGAACUGUGGU